UGCCGAAGUUUUCCUCAGUAGUUAACUGCAGCUGUUUUUCUAAAACUUCGGCAGUUAACUACCGAAGGGUAU
This 72-nucleotide microRNA precursor is filed under the name Medicago truncatula (barrel medic). Its description in RNAcentral is "MIR2629 microRNA precursor family". It matches the Rfam family "MIR2629 microRNA precursor family". The record is from Rfam by way of RNAcentral. Lineage: Eukaryota; Viridiplantae; Streptophyta; Magnoliopsida; Fabales; Fabaceae.